GGGGAAGUAUGGUUGCAAAGCUGAAACUUAAAGGAAUUGACGGAAGGGCACCACCAGGAGUGGAGCUUGCGGCUUAAUUUGACUCAACACGGGAAAACUCACCCGGCCCGGACACUGAGAGGAUUGACAGAUUGAGAGCUCUUUCUUGAUUCAGUGGGUGGUGGUGCAUGGCCGUUCUUAGUUGGUGGAGUGAUUUGUCUGGUUAAUUCCGAUAACGAACGAGACUCUAGCCUACUAAAUAGACUUGCAGUUUACACUGCAGUACUCCCCCUUAGUCAACCUGUGGGUGGUAGUAUCUCUUGAUGGUUUCGGCUGUUGAGGGCUCUGCUGCUAUUAGCCUACAGAAUUGGCUAGGGUAAGGAUGCUGUAGCACUGUAAGGACUUCUUAGAGGGACAAGCGGCGCUCGCAGCCGCACGAAACAGAGCAAUAACAGGUCUGUGAUGCCCUUAGAUGUCCGGGGCCGCACGCGUGCUACACUGAAGUGGUCAUCGUGCAUACUGUUUCUGCUCCGAAAGGAGUGGGUAACCGCUUGAACCCAUUUCGUGAUGGGGAUUGGGCAUUGUAAUUAUUGCCCAUGAACGAGGAAUUCCCAGUAAGCGUGAGUCAUUAGCUUGCGUUGAUUACGUCCCUGCCCUUUGUACACACCGCCCGUCGCUACUACCGAUUGAAUGAUUUAGUGAGGACUUCGGACUGGUCAAUCCAGACCAUUGGGAAACUAGUGGUCGGAUUGUGCUGGAAAGAUGUUCAAACUUGAUCAUUUAGAGGAAGUAAAAGUCGUAACAAGGUUUCCGUAGGUGAACUGCGGAAG
This 809-nucleotide non-coding RNA is filed under the name Tetranychus urticae (two-spotted spider mite). RNAcentral describes it as "Eukaryotic small subunit ribosomal RNA". It matches the Rfam family "Eukaryotic small subunit ribosomal RNA", at positions 1117 to 1823 of the family's 1831-position model. Lineage: Eukaryota; Metazoa; Arthropoda; Arachnida; Trombidiformes; Tetranychidae. The record is from Rfam by way of RNAcentral.